Raphanus sativus (radish) is the source of this 1190-nucleotide long non-coding RNA. RefSeq lists it as uncharacterized. The record is from RefSeq and is a predicted model, not a curated record. NCBI's taxonomy places the organism in Eukaryota, Viridiplantae, Streptophyta, Magnoliopsida, Brassicales, Brassicaceae. The transcript has 2 exons.
UAUGCCAAGCCCAUUAAAAAAAAUUUUCCGUGAAACUAACAGAAAAAGAAUGGUUAAGACUUGUUUUCCAUAAACAAUUAAUUUUCUUCUUUCUCUUUUUUUGUACAUUUAUUAUUUAUUAGAGAAAAGAAAUAUCUGUAGAGAAAAUGAGAACUUGGUGGUCAAGUUUUUUUUUUUAAAAAUUCGUUUUGUGUUAGUUAUUUGAUUCGAGUUGUUGAACAAUUAAUAGUUUAUAUUCUUUUCGCGUAGGAUUAGGAAAAUCUCUGAGUAGUUAUAUUAUGAUCGCGUAGAAUUAAGAAAAUUUUGGAGUGCGUAUCAAUUAAAAAUCGCUUUAAAUGUCAUUAAUGUACAUUAUUUAAAAAAUUUCGUACAUUUAAAGACUGGUUUAGGAAUGUUUCGUGGAAGGAAAACAGUUUAAUUAUGUUAGAUAUUAUUAGCAAACCAAAUUUUUAUUCGUUUUCGGUUUAUAUUGCAAACAAUUUUUUUUUGUUCAGGAACAAACCAAAAUAUAAACCAUCUAAAACAAAACCAAAAGUUCAUCAUAAGCAAAACAAUCUAAAAGGUUUCUUCACUGUGAAAAUAAUUUCCACCAUAAGCAAUAGAAUAUGUUAAUAUAUUCGUGUAGAUAUGUUUUAGUAUGAAUAAUAAUUUACACUAAUUGUUUUUGGGUGUUUAAUUUAGAUAUUUUCAUUGAUUGAUUUAGUACUGUAGAUAUUUCCAUCGAUUGGUUUAGAAGUCUGGACCAUGUGAGUUAAAAAGAAAGCCCAAACAAAAUUAUAAUGGGUAUUUAACCCUAAAUGCCACGUUUUUUAAUGUUAAAACUAAAUGAUUAAACUACUGUCUUUUGAUGGCAGUGGCAUGAAGUGGUAAUAUUCGUGGAAAACUAAGGGGACCAUUAUUGCUUGGGAAUCUUAAAUUUGAUUUUGGUGACGCAAGUUCACUUGAGAAAAUCUUGAAAGAGAAGGGGGAUAAAAUAGCUGGAUUCCUUUUCGAGCCUAUUCAAAGAGAAGCUGGAGUAAGUUUCUUUUUCUAGCAAUAACCAUUUUAGAGGAUGAAUCAUGUUGGUUUUGUAUUGCUUUGGUUAUAAGUUGUUAUUCCUCCUGAGGGUUAUUUGAAUCUGUUAGAGAACUCUGUACAAAGUACAACAUUUUGUUGAUAGCUGAUGGAAAUAUAAGAAAUCAUACACAACA